GAACCUCCUAGAGAAAGAGAGAGAAGAGAGUAGAGAGAAAAAAACCAAGAUUUGACCAAAAUCGGAGCCCCGAAUUCCGAAGCUCGUGAAGAGAAAAGUGUUGUACGUUGCAUUGCCUUCAUUUUGAGCCAAAAAUCAUCUAAGAAGGAGAGUGGUGACUUGGUUGCUGCAUACUUAAGGUAUAUAUGCUCUUGUACAAGCUAAGAGGAAUUAUUUGACGAAGUGGACUUUGAUUGGUCUAUGGCGUAGAUGAUUUGAACUCCUCGAGUUGUGUGGUAAAACGCCAAGGUAAUGCGCGAGAUGAGGUAUGAAGAUGGCCAUUUGGAGUAGACUUUUUGGGAGCCCUUGUGAAGAUCACAUCUGCAUAUGCAUCUAGUUUUUGUAAAUUUUUGGGGACUUGUACAUGAUACAUGUGUGGCACUUACGUAUGAAAUUUUGAAGGCUUGUGGAAAACAAGACCAUUUGCUUGUAACUUAAACUUGAUGACUGGUUUUGCUAUUUUAGGGUGUGUUUUUAACCCAAGUUAUGUCAUAUACUGAAUUUGUAUUUUGUCUUGUAAUUAUGUACAAAGGAUGAUAAUAGUUUUGUGAUAAUCACUAGUUUGA
Molecule: long non-coding RNA, 605 nt
Organism: Lycium barbarum (goji berry)
Lineage: Eukaryota; Viridiplantae; Streptophyta; Magnoliopsida; Solanales; Solanaceae
Exons: 3
Source: RefSeq, a predicted model, not a curated record